RNAcentral lists this long non-coding RNA (344 nucleotides) under Ananas comosus (pineapple). Its description in RNAcentral is "long non-coding RNA (ACOM_LNC044548)". Lineage: Eukaryota; Viridiplantae; Streptophyta; Magnoliopsida; Poales; Bromeliaceae. The record is from RNAcentral.
GGUAACUCCGCUGGAAACACAUCUCCAAACUCCCGCACGACGGGGAUGUCCUCAAUCCUAGGGGCGUCUAGAUCGUCCCGCAACACAAUAGUAGCCAAGUAGGCCACGCAGCCUCUGCUGAUCAACUGUCUAGCUCGAGAGGAGCUAAUCGUCAUCGCAAAUAGCGAACUCUGGCAUCCUCGGUACACAACCUCCGCCUGCCCCGGCUCUCUAAACAUCACAGUUCGAUUCUUGCAAUCGAUAGUGGCGUAGUACUUGGUCAACCAAUCCAUGCCCAAAACAACAUCAAACUCUCCGAGUUUAUGCAAAGCUAGCAAGUCCACGGGCAUGACCCAAUCUCCAAC